GACGAACGCUGGCGGCGUGCUUAACACAUGCAAGUCGAACGGAAAGGCCCUGCUUUUGUGGGGUGCUCGAGUGGCGAACGGGUGAGUAACACGUGAGUAACCUGCCCUUGACUUUGGGAUAACUUCAGGAAACUGGGGCUAAUACCGGAUAGGAGCUCCUGCUGCAUGGUGGGGGUUGGAGAGUUUCGGCGGUUGGGGAUGGACUCGCGGCUUAUCAGCUUGUUGGUGGGGUAGUGGCUUACCAAGGCUUUGACGGGUAGCCGGCCUGAGAGGGUGACCGGCCACAUUGGGACUGAGAUACGGCCCAGACUCCUACGGGAGGCAGCAGUGGGGAAUAUUGCACAAUGGGCGGAAGCCUGAUGCAGCAACGCCGCGUGCGGGAUGACGGCCUUCGGGUUGUAAACCGCUUUCGCCUGUGACGAAGCGUGAGUGACGGUAAUGGGUAAAGAAGCACCAGCUAACUACGUG
RNAcentral lists this ribosomal RNA (468 nucleotides) under uncultured bacterium. RNAcentral's name for it is "partial 16S ribosomal RNA". It matches the Rfam family "Bacterial small subunit ribosomal RNA", at positions 28 to 507 of the family's 1533-position model. The record is from RNAcentral.